AUUGAACGCUGGCGGCAUGCCUUACACAUGCAAGUCGAACGAGUGGCGGACGGGUGAGUAAUGCCUGGGCAACUGCCUGAUGGAGGGGGAUAACUACUCGAAACGGUAGCUAAUACCGCAUAUCAUUGGAUGUGCCCACAUGGGAUUAGCUGGUUGGCGGGGUAAAGGCUCACCUAGGCGGCGAUCCAUAGCUGGUCUGAGAGGAUGACCACCCAAACUGGAGCAGAGGCCAGGUCCAGAACCCUAAGGGAGGCAGCAGUGGGGAAUAUUGGACAAUGGGCGGAAGCCUGAUGCAGCCCUGCCGGGUGGAUGAAGAAGGGCUUCGGGUUGGAAAGGAAUUUUAGCGGGGAAGCGUUACCCGCAGAAGAAGCAACGGCUAACUCCCUGCCAACAGCCGCGGGAAAUC
This 406-nucleotide ribosomal RNA is filed under the name uncultured bacterium. RNAcentral describes it as "partial 16S ribosomal RNA". It matches the Rfam family "Bacterial small subunit ribosomal RNA", at positions 29 to 526 of the family's 1533-position model. The record is from RNAcentral.